This 466-nucleotide ribosomal RNA is filed under the name uncultured delta proteobacterium. RNAcentral's name for it is "partial 16S ribosomal RNA". It matches the Rfam family "Bacterial small subunit ribosomal RNA", at positions 338 to 794 of the family's 1533-position model. Lineage: Bacteria; Deltaproteobacteria. The record is from RNAcentral.
CCUACGGGAGGCAGCAGUGAGGAAUUUUGGGCAAUGGGCGAAAGCCUGACCCAGCGACACCGCGUGGGGGAUUGAAGGCCUUCGGGUCGUAAAGCCCUGUCAGGUGGGAAGAAACGUGCCGAUGUGAAUAACAUCGGCAUUUGACGGUACCACCGGAGGAAGCACCGGCUAACUCCGUGCCAGCAGCCGCGGUAAUACGGAGGGUGCAAGCGUUGUUCGGAAUUAUUGGGCGUAAAGCGCGUGUAGGCGGUUGGGCAAGUCAGAUGUGAAAGCUUUCCGCUCAACGGAAGAAGUGCAUUUGAAACUACCCGGCUUGAGUUCGGGAGAGGAGAGUGAAAUUCCCGGUGUAGAGGUGAAAUUCGUAGAUAUCGGGAGGAACACCGGUGGCGAAGGCGGUUUCCCGGCCUGUUCCUGACGCUGAGACGCGAAAGCUAGGGGAGCGAACGGGAUUAGAUACCCUGGUAGU